GGCCAGCCAGGGCUACAUAGUGAGAAGCUGUCUGAGACCACAAAAACAAAACAAAACAAAAUGAAAAUAACUUUCCUCUGCAAAACUGUUAUUACGACAGGCCUUAUGGACAGAGAGCCGGAUCAGUUGGCAAAGUGCUUGCCAUGCACCAGAGUUCCAUCCUCAGACUCCAUGAAAAACGCCACACGCCUGUAAUCUCAGCACUGUGCAGGCAGAGGAGGAGCUCAGGCUCUGCAGUCCAGAACAACCGGCACACUCCAGAUCAGGGAGAAACUGGUCUAAAAGACGUUUUUCACUCCAGGGGCUCGGAUGCCCUCUCUGGGCAUCCUUGGGCACAAGGCACACAUGUGGGGCACAGAAAUACAUACAGGCAAAAGACCUGCAACACAUAAAAUACAAAUUAAAAACAAACAAAAAAAAA
This 421-nucleotide long non-coding RNA is filed under the name Rattus norvegicus (Norway rat). Its description in RNAcentral is "long non-coding RNA NONRATT025383". The record is from RNAcentral. Lineage: Eukaryota; Metazoa; Chordata; Mammalia; Rodentia; Muridae.